This is a long non-coding RNA of Marmota monax (woodchuck), 5064 nucleotides long. RefSeq lists it as uncharacterized. The transcript is spliced from 3 exons. Lineage: Eukaryota; Metazoa; Chordata; Mammalia; Rodentia; Sciuridae. The record is from RefSeq and is a predicted model, not a curated record.
UGUUAUAUUUCAGUAAAAUGCUUAUAGACAAAUUUCUAUAUUCAUAUAUAUACAUAUAUUUGACAUAUAUACAAAUAUAUACACACAUAUAUAUGUACAUAUAUGUGUGUGAUUUUCCAUAAAUGAAGAAUGGAAUCAUAUCAGUUUUCCCUCUUUAUCUGUGGAGGACCAGCUCCAUGGCCCCUCACAGAUGCCAAAAUCUGUAGAUGUGCAAUACCUUAUAAAAUGGAAUAGGAUCUGCAUAUAUCUUCCUGUAUACUUUAAAGUAUUUCUGGGCUACUUAUAAUACCUAAGAGAAUGUAAAUACUAUGUGAUAUUUGUUGUACUGCAUUAUUUACAGAAUGACAAAAAGUCUCUAUGUGUUUAGUACAGAUGCAGUUUUCAAAAAAAUAUUUUCAAUCUGCAGUGCUCAAAUCUGUGGAUAUAGAACCACAGACACAAAGGGCUGACUGUAGAGCACUUUUUUAGGGCUGCCAUCUCCUCCUGGCUCUUUUCUUUUUUAUAUACCUAAGGAUUACCCUCUUCUCCCCUCCAUGCUUUACCUCACCCCAGGUCAUAUAUGAAUUAAUAACAUGGUAUACAACCAUCCAUAGUUCUCCAUGCUCAGGGAUGCACAUAUCUGUAUCUAUACCUAAGUCUAUCAAUAUUUUUAAAAUUGAUUAUAUCAUCCAUAGUUUUCUGCCCCUUGCUAGUCUCAAACAAAUAGGCCAUCCCAAUCAGCAUCUCAUACUCUAAUUCAUUAUCUACAAUAACUAUUUACUAUAUGGGCAUUCUAGUUUUCUACCACCCUGAGCAGUGUUGAAUUAAACAUGUUUACACAUACAUCAUUCAGGUGGGUUUACAGCUAGAGGACACCUUGAGAAGUGAACUACUGAAAAAAAAGCACAUGUAUUUUUAAUUUUAAUAUGCUGACAUUAUUUUUUUUAUAAGAAGACAUCUGUAAUCUAUGAAAGUACUCUUUUCUCUGCAGUUCCUUGGAUCUUUUUUUUUUUUAAGAGAGAGAGAGAAUUUUUUUUAAUAUUUAUUUUUUUUAGUUUUUGGCAGACACAACAUCUUUGUUUGUAUGUGGUGCUGAGGAUCGAACCCGGGACGCACGCAUGCCAGGCGAGCGCUUGAGCCACCCCCAGCCCAGUUCCUUGGAUCUUAACUGCAAGCUGCCAUACGGAGAAAUCCCAUAACUAAGAACAGCCAGCAAGUACUGAGGACUUCAGUUCAAUAUCCCCAAAGAAAUCUAAUCCUACCAAUACCCACACGAGCUUAGAAGUGGCUAAUUUUCUUGUUGAACCUUCUAAUGACACCCCAAUACAAGCUGACACCUCAACUGCAGUAUCACAAAAGACAAUGAAGGAGAAGACCCAGUCAAGUCAUGCCUGGAUUCCUGACUCACAGACACGGUCAUAUAAUACAGCUGUGAAAAACAACAAAGAAGUUCUCAAGGUACUGGUGUGAGAAGAUCUCCCAUACUGUUGAAUGAAAAAAGUGAGGUACAAACAUGUUACCUUUUGUGUGAAAAGGAACAAAAUAAGCAUUCACAUUUGUAUUUGUUUAUAUCCUCAUACAAACUUGGGAAGACACAUGAGAAAUGAACAGUGAUUGCUGGGAUUGUUGAAUAGAUGUGGGAACUAGGUGAAGACUUUUCAUCGUGCGUCAGGGAUGGAAAUUGCUGCUCUACUCCUCUUUUAAUAAAACCUUCCAAACUUCAGUGAUCAUAUGGACACCCAGCUACACACUACUUUUCCCAGACUCCCUUUCUGCUAGGUGUGGCCAGUCACCAAGAACUGGCCAAUGGAGUAUGAGCAGAAGUGAGGUGUUCAAGUUCUGGGACUUCAGCAUCAUUCGUCCUUCUCCUGGUGGAACAUGAUAUGAUAAUGUGAGUCAGUGUCUACCCUGUGGAUGAAGACAUUGCUCUAGGGGAUGGCAUAAGAGAAUGACUUAUAUCCCAGAAGAACCAGUGCAAUAGAGCCACCACCCCAUACUAGAUGGCUUCUCUUCCUCUGGGAGAAAAGCUGAAAUUUCUACCUCAUGGUAGAAAAGCUGAAAUUCUAUCUUGUUUUCAGUGCUUUGUGUCUCCUCUUUAUUAUAGUAACUUAGCCUGAAUUUUAGCCAAAGCAGAAGUUAUGGACCUUAAAAUGAGAUACUACAGUAUCAAUAAUUUGGAGCCUCAUGGAGCUGGAAAAGCAAAUUCUUCUCUACCUAAAUUCUUCUCUCCCAGUGCUUAAAUGAAAUUCUUUAGUUAAGUAUUCUUGGACAGACAUGGAAGUCAGUCUACUUGAAAGAUCAAAUAAAGGGUACAGCUUACAAAUAUUUGCUGAAAUGAGGAGGAAAGGGAUGGUCAGAAAUAGAUACCAGUAACUAAUUUAGACCCCACUGACUUAAAAACCUUGUCCCAAAAGAGAUCUUUGGAGUGGAGACCUGGGACAGACUGGAAGUCAUGAGAAUCUAUUUCGUUUUUGAGAGGCAUGUAGUGCCACAUGUCUGGCCUAUAAAAACCUAGGGCUUCUCAACUCCUGAAAAGACCAUUAGACCCCCAAACCUGCACCAGUAAGAAAUGUAUUCUGGAGCAUUUGAAUACAUGCAAGGACAUGUCCUCCAGUGAUGGCUUCAGAUGGGGCUAAAAGGCCAGGCCAGGAGCCAUAGAGAACUAUAGACAAGGCGCUGUUCUACCCGGCAGCACCAAGAUUCAGCCAAGAGCUCAAUGUUCUGCAGGACAAGGACUAUGUACAAUCCCUGCUCAACAGAAUUUCAUCACUGCAAUGGAUUAAUGACUGUUUGUAUUUCUCAUCCCUCACUUUUCCAGGUAAGAACUUGCACAGUGGCUCCUACUUCACCUUCUAUGUUGCAUUGGGGAGGUGGGGAAUGGAAGCAAUUCUCUAUAGUUUUAUAGGUUUUCAAGGUAAGAAGGACCAGGCCCUGAUCUAAUGAAGGACUGAUGUGUAUCCACACAGAAAUCUUGAAUUUUAGGUUAGAGGCAUCACCUAGACACUGAUUCUUUUUGGUGAGGGAGAAAUGGCUUCUAUUUGGGAAGAAGAGUGCACGUGGAUAUAUGGAUAGCCAAAGGGGAAAACUAAAGCAGAAGCCGCUAAUUAUUUUCUCAAAGUCUAUUCUUUCUGUUUAUAAUCAAAGCUCAAGAAUGUAAAGUGGUCACAGAGUCACACACCUAUACUUUUCCCAGUCUAUGUUGCUGAUAGGUGUAUCUUUGUGAUUGAGAACUUGAUAAUAGAUGUGACAGGUGAUGUAUAAACUUCUCUUCUUUCCCUCCUUCCUGUGGGCUGAAAUGCAGGUGUAUUAGUGGUGAGCAGCUUUGAAAACUCAGACAAUACCUUAGAAUACAAAAAAAAAAAAAAAAAAAAAUUCACUAUUAGGAUGGUGGUGGCAUAAUGAGAGAGGGGAAGUGGGUCCCUGCACAACUGUAUGGAACACAGCAGGUCACCCAUCUUGACUACCUGCCUAUGUCAACUACUGUGUGAGAUAAAAAUUUCUAUCUUAAUUGAGUCAUUGUAUUUUUGAGCCUCAGCUAUUACUGUUCAGCCAGGACCCUUACUAGCAUAAUAUCUUCUUAUAAUUUUAGGUUUCUGAGCUGUAAGAAUAUUGCCUAGGGCUGGGGAUGUGGCACAAGUGGUAGCGCGCUUGCCUAGCAUUUGUGAGGCACUGGGUUCGAUUCUCAGCACCACAUAAAAAUAAAAUAAAAGAUAUUGUGUCCACCUAAAGAAAAAAAAGAAUAUAUUGCCUAUUUGUGAUAUUAAUUUUUAAAAAAGAAAUAACUUCCUAAAGGUUUCAGGAUACCCAUAAAAAAAUGUUCCUUUUUAAAAACUCCAUAAUAUUACUUCUUUUUAAAAUUUUUUUUUUUUUUUGUAGUUACAGAUGGACAGCAUACCUUUGUUUAUUUUUAUAUGGUGCUAAAAAUCAAACCCAGUGCCUCACAUGUGCUAGGCAAGCACUCUGCCACUGAGCUACAGUCUCAGCCAUUAUAAUACUUCUGAGACAUAAAAUUGAGGAAAUAUUGCAAACACAUGAGAAAAAAAAGAUGCAGAGAUGUUCACCAUUACAGCUCAGCUCCAGAAUAUAGAGAAGCAGUGAGAAGAAAAAAGAAAGAAAGAGAGAGAGAAAGAAAGAAAGAACAAGAAACAUGCUAAAUGCUCAACCAUAGGGAAUAACCGUAUACACUUCAGGACAGAUCCAGCUUUUCUGAUCUUUACAAGUGAAACUAUGUUUAACAUAUUUCAUCAAAAUUACCUAUUUGAAAAAGUAAAUCGUCAGAUUAAUAAGCUAUUAAUCCUAUCUUUGCAAAGUAUUUCCACUCUAAAAUGAUAUUCACUGAUACUGACAAUGGAUCUUUGAAUGUUAAUAUUUGAGAGGAAUUUUUUGAUUAUUUUGUAUUUUAAAUAUUAAAAUAAUAAACAUACUUUUUCACAAAUAAUAAAUUUCAUGUUGUUUCAAGAUAGGUAUUUCUUAAAAUUUUUUAAAUAAUGAUAAAUUCUAAAGGAAUGGCCUACAAAAGUUUUUAUACAGGAUGAUGCCAAGUAUUUUCUUUAAGUAUAAAAACAUAUAUCAGAAAAGAGGCAAAUAUGCUAAAAUUUUAACAGUGAUUUUAGGAUUAGAGAUAGAUUUCCCCUCAUAAUCUGAAAGGUUAUUUGCAUAAUUAAAAAAAAAAGGUAACUAAUAGUUUUGCUGCUUCUGUUAAAAAUUCUCCUUCCAUGACCCCAAAUAGUAAAUAAUUAUACAUAUAAGAAGUUUAAAGUCUGCCUGACUACUGGGUCAAAGACCUAAUUAUUGUGUCUUAGGGUAAACAAAGAUCACGUACAUUUCAACAAAUUAUUUAACUACGUGCGACGAGAGCAUUAGUAUAAACUGAAAGCAAACUCACCCAGCACUCAUUACACCGUGAAGGACUAUUUUACAAGACGUUGGCGGAAAGAAAAAGACCACCCCACGCCUCCUGGAAGGGCACCUGUGGUUCUGGCACAACUUCCAUCUCCAGGGACUGCUCUCAUGCGCCAGCUGGCAGGCCCUGUUGCCACCCCACAUCUGUAUGGAAGCCACGUACCGAACCUGGUUCUCCAAGAA